RNAcentral lists this long non-coding RNA (680 nucleotides) under Sinocyclocheilus grahami. RNAcentral's name for it is "lncRNA (ENSSGRG00000013978.1)". Lineage: Eukaryota; Metazoa; Chordata; Actinopteri; Cypriniformes; Cyprinidae. The record is from RNAcentral.
CACCGUUUUGGCUAAAAAUCUUCUUUACUGUUCUACUGAAGAAAAAAAGUCACCUACAUCUUGAAUGACCUAAAAGUGAGUAAAUUAACAGCACAUUUUCAAUUUUGGGUGAACUAUCUCUUUAAUGUGAUUUAUUAUUAAUAGUAAUUUACUCCAUUGUUUCCUACCAUUGUACAUGAAAUGGAUAAACUUCUGGAUCUUCUUCCUUUCUCAUAAAAGAGCUUGGAGAGCAUGUUGUAGAAGCGCCAAAUGGUCCCGGGACGAAAGGCGAAGACCAGCCUCUGAAAUCUCCCAGUGAUGCUGAGAAUGAUGAAGACGAUUAUGUAAAUGAUGAGAUAGGACAGCAAUAUAAUGUAGCACCAUCAGAUAAUAAUGGUGCCGAGGAAAAAGGAAACACAGACAAGCUAGAGCUUGGAGAUCAGGAUGUAGAAGCGCCAAACGAGCCUCUGAAAUCUCCCAGUGAUGCUGAGAAUGAUGAAGACGAUUAUGUAAAUGAUGAGAUAGGUAAGAUAAUAGCAUAUUAAUGAGUGUGUGGAAAAAUACAGCCUGAUUUGUCUUAUUCAAAAUAACGGUUGAGCAUUCAUACUGUAUUGUGUUCAUUUCAGUAUCAGUCAAUUAAUCUAGAGCAACAUCAAUCGCUUUGCUUUUCACACUCUAAAAAAUUCAGGGCUAAAAACAAC